GAACGAAACGCUGGCGGCGGGCCUAACACAUGCAAGUCGCACGAGAACGUCCGGGCCUUGCUCGGGCUAGUAAAGUGGCGCACGGGUGAGUAGCGCGUGGGUAAUCUACCCUCGGGUAGGGAAUAACGUUCCGAAAGGAGCGCUAAUACCGUAUACGACCACAUCCCCUGCGGUGGGUGUGGUGAAAGCGGGCCUCUCUAUAGAAGCUCGCGCCCGGGGUCGAGCCCGCGUCCCCAUUAGCUUGUUGGUGAGGUAACGGCUCACCAAAGCCGCGAUGGGUAGCUGAUCUGAGAGGAUGAUCAGCCACACUGGGACUGGAACACGGCCCAGACUCCUACGGGAGGCAGCAGUGAGGAAUCUUGCGCAAUGGGGGAAACCCUGACGCAGCCACGCCGCGUGGGUGAAGAAGGCCUUCGGGUCGUAAAGCCCUGUCAGGUGGGAAGAACCGCGAUGAGCUGAAUAAUCUCAUUGCCUGACGGUACCACCAAAGGAAGCACCGGCUAACUCCGUGCCAGCAGCCGCGGUAAUACGGAGGGUGCAAGCGUUGUUCGGAAUUACUGGGCGUAAAGAGCGUGUAGGCGGCUAUGUAAGUCAUAUGUGAAAGCCCUCGGCUCAACUGGGGAAGUGCAUGUGAUACUGCUUAGCUUGAGUCCCGGAGAGGAGUGUGGAAUUCCCGGUGUAGAGGUGAAAUUCGUAGAGAUCUGGAGGAAUACCGGUGGCGAAAGGCGGCCCCCUGGACGAAGACUGACGCUCAGGUGCGAAAGCGUGGGGAGCUAACAGGAUUAGAUACUCUGGUAGUC
RNAcentral lists this ribosomal RNA (800 nucleotides) under uncultured bacterium. RNAcentral describes it as "bacterial SSU rRNA". It matches the Rfam family "Bacterial small subunit ribosomal RNA", at positions 26 to 795 of the family's 1533-position model. The record is from RNAcentral.